RNAcentral lists this ribosomal RNA (253 nucleotides) under uncultured bacterium. RNAcentral describes it as "partial 16S ribosomal RNA". It matches the Rfam family "Bacterial small subunit ribosomal RNA", at positions 524 to 776 of the family's 1533-position model. The record is from RNAcentral.
UACGUAGGGGGCAAGCGUUGUCCGGAUUUAUUGGGCGUAAAGAGCGUGUAGGCGGCCAAGCAGGUCAGCUGUGAAAACUCGAGGCUCAACCUCGAGACGUCGGUUGAAACCGCUUGGCUAGAGUCCGGAAGAGGAGAGUGGAAUUCCCGGUGUAGCGGUGAAAUGCGCAGAUAUCGGGAAGAGCACCCGUGGCGAAGGCGGCUCUCUGGGACGGUACUGACGCUGAGACGCGAAAGCGUGGGGAGCGAACAGG